UGGGGAAUCUUCCGCAAUGGGCGAAAGCCUGACGGAGCAGCGCCGCGUGGGUGAAGACGGUCUUCGGGUUGUAAAGCUCUGUUAUACGGUACGAAUAGUCUUGUGGUUAAUACCCAUGAGAAGUGAAGGUACCGUAAGAGAAAGCCGCGGCUAACUACGUGCCAGCAGCCGCGGAAAUACGUAGGUGGCAAGCGUUGUCCGGAAUUAUUGGGCGUAAAGGGCGCGCAGGCUUCUUCUUAAGUCUGUCUUAAAAGUGCGGGGCUUAACCCCGUGAUGAUAUGGAAACUGGGAAGCUCAUAGUAUCGGAGAAGAAAGCGGAAUUCCUAGCGUAGCGGUGAAAUGCGUAUAUCUUAGGAGGAACACCAGUGGCGAAAGCGGCUUUCUGGACGAAAACUGACGCUGAGGCGCGAAAGCCAGGUUAGCGAACGGGAUUAGAUACCCCGGUAGUCCUGGCCGUCGUUUUACAAUACUAGGUGUAGGAGGUAUCGACCCCUUCUGUGCCGGAGUUAACGCAAUAAGUACCCCGCCUGGGGAGUACGGCCGCAAGGUUG
Molecule: ribosomal RNA, 551 nt
Filed under: uncultured bacterium
Lineage: Bacteria
Description: bacterial SSU rRNA
Rfam family: Bacterial small subunit ribosomal RNA
Source: RNAcentral